GGCAGUUCUCGGGUGAUGAACCCCUGAAUCGAGCUCCCUUCUCUCUGGUUCUGAGUGUGUCACCCGAGAACUGCC
Non-coding RNA from Myotis davidii, 75 nucleotides. Lineage: Eukaryota; Metazoa; Chordata; Mammalia; Chiroptera; Vespertilionidae. The record is from Rfam.